Molecule: long non-coding RNA, 448 nt
Filed under: Fukomys damarensis (Damara mole-rat)
Lineage: Eukaryota; Metazoa; Chordata; Mammalia; Rodentia; Bathyergidae
Description: lncRNA (ENSFDAG00000027322.1)
Source: RNAcentral
GCUUCAUGCGGGCCGGAAAGUGGCCUCUUGUGUUCGUGUUGGCACAUGGCGUUGGCACACGGCAGGGGUUCGGUUUAUGCCGUCCACUGGUAGCAAACAUUUAUUGAAUGGCAGGCAUCCUGCCAACCACGAAAGACUCAGUCUUCAAAAUGCUCGCAAAUGGACAAAUAAACUGCAAUGAAAGCCUUUAAAAAUCCACGUUUAUUUUGUUUCUAGUUUGGAGGUUUCAAGCCACUGCAUAUACCAAAUGCUUCAGCCAACUUGGAUAUGAACAUUCGAGCCUCCAAAAAUUGCGUGGGGCAAGGAGGCCAAGGCUGGUGCAGAGCUUCCUGGGGUCUACACAGAUGGCCGCUGACGGUUUCAGAUCAGAGAGGAGGCCGGGACUCAGCCGCUCCUCCUUCCUUCAUCCCCUCGCUGUUGCCCUCAACUUCCCAGUGGGUCCCCACCG